Molecule: ribosomal RNA, 274 nt
Filed under: uncultured bacterium
Lineage: Bacteria
Description: partial 16S ribosomal RNA
Rfam family: Bacterial small subunit ribosomal RNA
Source: RNAcentral
AUACGGAGGGUGCAAGCGUUAUCCGGAUUCAUUGGGUUUAAAGGGUGCGCAGGCGGACUUGUAAGUCAGUGGUGAAACCCCGGGGCUCAACCUCGGAACUGCCAUUGAUACUGCAAGUCUUGAGUUUGGUUGAAGUGGGCGGAAUGUAGCAUGUAGCGGUGAAAUGCAUAGAUAUGCUACAGAACACCGGUCGCGAAGGCAGCUCACUAAACCAACACUGACGCUCAGGCACGAAAGCGUGGGGAGCGAACAGGAUUAGAAACCCUAGUAGUCC